GAAUUUAGAGUUUUUCCUACUCACACGAAAGUAGUGAAAACAUUUUGCGAAUAUUGGAAAGUAUUUUUAUAGAAGAAUUGUUUAUAAACACAUCCCAAUCAAUUAUGAAGGUUUUCUACGUUUUACUUGUUCUCAGCUUGAUUGCAGUCACUUUCGCUGCUGAAAAUUGUACACUGGUUAGAGAGAAGGCCGAAAAUUCUAAUGGCGGAUUCAAGCCUGAUUGUUUGGAAAACGGUGACUAUGCUCCUGUUCAAUGCAACGGUAGUGUGUGCUGGUGCGUUAACAAGGAAGGCAACUUGCAAACCUUUCCCCAAAACGGAAAACCAGAUUGCAAGAGGGAAUAGAACAUUGAAUCACAAGAACAAUGUUUGAAAUUUAAAUUGUCGUAAGAAGCGUAAUUAACUUUUUUAUGAUUUAAGUGAUUCAUUCAUUGUAUUUUCCAUUUCUAAAUGUAAUUAUUUACAUACAUUAAUAGCAUUGCAUUGAGACAAUUCCUUUGUUAAAAAUUUUUGUAGUAUAUAAAGUGAUAAUAAAAACUGUGUAGCGGUUCAAAGAA
Molecule: long non-coding RNA, 556 nt
Organism: Parasteatoda tepidariorum (common house spider)
Lineage: Eukaryota; Metazoa; Arthropoda; Arachnida; Araneae; Theridiidae
Source: RefSeq, a predicted model, not a curated record